Molecule: unclassified non-coding RNA, 334 nt
Filed under: soil metagenome
Description: partial contains 5.8S ribosomal RNA, internal transcribed spacer 2, and large subunit ribosomal RNA
Rfam family: 5.8S ribosomal RNA (bases 1-120)
Source: RNAcentral
GAUGAAGAACGUAGUGAAAUGCGAUAAGUAAUGUGAAUUGCAGAAUUCAGUGAAUCAUCGAAUCUUUGAACGCACAUUGCGCCCGCCAGUAUUCUGGCGAGCAUGCCUGUUCGAGCGUCAUUUCAACCAUCAAGCCCCAGGCUUGUGUUGGAGCCCUGCGGCUGCCGCAGCCUCCCAAAACCAGUGGCGGGCUCGCUAUCACACCGAGUGCAGUAGUUUACUCUUCGCUCAGGGCGUGUGGCGGGUGCUAGCCGUGAAACCCCCAACUUCUCAAGGUUGACCUCGGAUCAGGUAGGAAUAGCCGCUGAACUUAAGCAUAUCAAUAAGCGGAGGA